UACGUAGGGGGCUAGCGUUGUCCGGAAUCAUUGGGCGUAAAGAGCGUGUAGGCGGUCCGGUAAGUCCGCUGUGAAAGUCGGGGGCUCAACCCUCGAAUGCCGGUGGAUACUGUCGGGCUAGAGUCCGGAAGAGGCGAGUGGAAUUCCUGGUGUAGCGGUGGAAUGCGCAGAUAUCAGGAGGAACACCGAUAGCGAAGGCAGCUCGCUGGGACGGUACUGACGCUGAGGCGCGAAAGCGUGGGGAGCGAACAGG
RNAcentral lists this ribosomal RNA (253 nucleotides) under uncultured bacterium. RNAcentral's name for it is "partial 16S ribosomal RNA". It matches the Rfam family "Bacterial small subunit ribosomal RNA", at positions 524 to 776 of the family's 1533-position model. The record is from RNAcentral.